Molecule: transfer RNA, 72 nt
Filed under: Oreichthys crenuchoides
Lineage: Eukaryota; Metazoa; Chordata; Actinopteri; Cypriniformes; Cyprinidae
Description: tRNA-Thr
Rfam family: tRNA
About the family: Transfer RNA (tRNA) molecules are approximately 80 nucleotides in length. Their secondary structure includes four short double-helical elements and three loops (D, anti-codon, and T loops). Further hydrogen bonds mediate the characteristic L-shaped molecular structure. tRNAs have two regions of fundamental functional importance: the anti-codon, which is responsible for specific mRNA codon recognition, and the 3' end, to which the tRNAs corresponding amino acid is attached (by aminoacyl-tRNA synthetases). tRNAs cope with the degeneracy of the genetic code in two manners: having more than one tRNA (with a specific anti-codon) for a particular amino acid; and 'wobble' base-pairing, i.e. permitting non-standard base-pairing at the 3rd anti-codon position.
Source: RNAcentral
GCCCUAGUAGCUUAAAUCCAAAGCACCGGUCUUGUAAUCCGGAGAUCGGAGGUUAAAUUCCUCCCUAGAGCC